AGAGUUGAUUCUGGCUCAGGAUGAACGCUAGCUACAGGCUUAACACAUGCAAGUCGAGAGGCAUCAUGACGAUAGCUUGCUAUUGUGAUGGCGACCGGCGCACGGGUGAGUAACGCGUAUCCAACCUUCCCCUUAGUAGAGGAUAGCCGGCGAAAGUCGGAUUAAUACUCUAUGUUGUUCGAUGCGGACAUCUAAGUUGAACCAAAGGUUUACCGCUAAGGGAUGGGGAUGCGUCUGAUUAGGUAGUAGGGCGGGGUAACGGCCCACCUAGCCUACGAUCAGUAGGGUUCUGAGAGGAAGGUCCCCCACAUUGGAACUGAGACACGGUCCAAACUCCUACGGGAGGCAGCAGUGAGGAAUAUUGGUCAAUGGCCGAGAGGCUGAACCAGCCAAGUAGCGUGCAAGGAUGACGGCCCUAUGGGUUGUAAACUGCUUUUGUAUGGGGAUAAAGUUCACUACGUGUAGUGAUUUGCAGGUACCAUAUGAAUAAGGACCGGCUAAUUCCGUGCCAGCCGCAGC
This 519-nucleotide ribosomal RNA is filed under the name uncultured bacterium. Its description in RNAcentral is "bacterial SSU rRNA". It matches the Rfam family "Bacterial small subunit ribosomal RNA", at positions 8 to 518 of the family's 1533-position model. The record is from RNAcentral.